ACACGUAAACAACCUGCCUUCAGGAUGGGGACAACAGACGGAAACGACUGCUAAUACCGAAUAAGUUCCAAGAGCCGCAUGGCCCAUGGAAGAAAAGGUGGCCUCUACCUGUAAGCUAUCGCCUGAAGAGGGGUUUGCGUCUGAUUAGCUGGUUGGAGGGGUAACGGGCCCACCAAGGCGACGAUCAGUAGCCGGUCUGAGAGGAUGAACGGCCACACUGGAACUGAGACACGGCCCAGACUCCUACGGGAGGCAGCAUG
RNAcentral lists this ribosomal RNA (260 nucleotides) under uncultured bacterium. RNAcentral describes it as "partial 16S ribosomal RNA". It matches the Rfam family "Bacterial small subunit ribosomal RNA", at positions 113 to 353 of the family's 1533-position model. The record is from RNAcentral.